CCUACGGGUGGCAGCAGUGGGGGAUAUUGCACAAUGGGGGAAACCCUGAUGCAGCGACGCCGCGUGGGUGAAGAAGUAUUUCGGUAUGUAAAGCCCUAUCAGCAGGGAAGAAAGAAGACGGUACCUGACUAAGAAGCCCCGGCUAACUACGUGCCAGCAGCCGCGGUAAUACGUAGGGGGCGAGCGUUAUCCGGAUUCACUGGGGGUAAAGGGAGCGUAGACGGCCGUGCAAGCCAGGAGUGAAAGCCCGGGGCCCAACCCCGGGACUGCUCGUGGAAAUGUGCGGCUGGAGUGCGGGAGGGGCAGGCGGAAUUCCUGGUGUAGCGGUGAAAUGCGUAGAUAUCAGGAGGAACACCGGCGGCGAAGGCGGCCUGCUGGACCGCGACUGACGUUGAGGCUCGAAAGCGUGGGGAGCGAACAGGAUUAGAUACCCGAGUAGUC
RNAcentral lists this ribosomal RNA (441 nucleotides) under uncultured bacterium. RNAcentral's name for it is "partial 16S ribosomal RNA". It matches the Rfam family "Bacterial small subunit ribosomal RNA", at positions 338 to 795 of the family's 1533-position model. The record is from RNAcentral.